Molecule: ribosomal RNA, 440 nt
Filed under: uncultured bacterium
Lineage: Bacteria
Description: partial 16S ribosomal RNA
Rfam family: Bacterial small subunit ribosomal RNA
Source: RNAcentral
CCUACGGGGGGCAGCAGUGGGGAAUAUUGCACAAUGGGGGAAACCCUGAUGCAGCGACGCCGCGUGAGUGAAGAAGUAAUUAGUUAUGUAAAGCUCUAUCAGCAGGGAAGAAAAUGACGGUACCUGAGUAAGAAGCCCCGGCUAACUACGUGCCAGCAGCCGCGGUAAUAAGUAGGGGGAAAGCGUUAUCCGUAUUUACUGGGUGUAAAGGGAGCGUAGACGGCAGUGCAAGUCUGGAGUGAAAGGCGGGGGCUCAACCCCCGGACUGCUCUGGAAACUGUACGGCUGGAGUGCAGGAGAGGUAAGUGGAAUUCCUAGUGUAGCGGUGAAAUGCGUAGAUAUUAGGAGGAACACCAGUGGCGAAGGCGGCUUACUGGACUGUAACUGACGUUGAGGCUCGAAAGCGUGGGGAGCAAACAGGAUUAGAUACCCCUGUAGUC